UGGGGGAUAUUGCACAAUGGGCGAAAGCCUGAUGCAGCGACGCCGCGUGGGGGAUGAAGGCUUUCGGGUUGUAAACCUCUUUCGCUAUCGAACAAGGCCCGCUUAGGGUGGGUUGAGGGUAGGUGGAGAAGAAGCGCCGGCUAACUACGUGCCAGCAGCCGCGGUAAUACGUAGGGCGCGAGCGUUGUCCGGAAUUAUUGGGCGUAAAGGGCUUGUAGGCGGCUUGUUGCGCCUGCUGUGAAAACGCGGGGCUUAACUUCGCGCGUGCAGUGGGUACGGGCAGGCUUGAGUGUGGUAGGGGUGACUGGAAUUCCAGGUGUAGCGGUGGAAUGCGCAGAUAUCUGGAGGAACACCGAUGGCGAAGGCAGGUCACUGGGCCAUUACUGACGCUGAGGAGCGAAAGCAUGGUAGCGAACAGG
Molecule: ribosomal RNA, 419 nt
Filed under: bacterium
Lineage: Bacteria
Description: partial 16S ribosomal RNA
Rfam family: Bacterial small subunit ribosomal RNA
Source: RNAcentral